CUUGCCAAAGAUGAGGCCAUUACGGCUCGCCUUUCGGUGUCCUCCUCGGGAUAACGUCAUUUAAAGAACAAGAGUCAGCACAACGUGAAAAAAAAAAACUAAAAAAAAACGGAAAAAAACUAUGGAAAAAAAACCGGAGAAGCUUGCCAAAGAUGAGGCCAUUACGGCUGGCCUUUAGGUGUCCUCCUCGGGAUAACGUCAUUUAAAGAACAAGAGUCAGC
RNAcentral lists this long non-coding RNA (221 nucleotides) under Arachis ipaensis. RNAcentral's name for it is "long non-coding RNA (AIPA_LNC001986)". Lineage: Eukaryota; Viridiplantae; Streptophyta; Magnoliopsida; Fabales; Fabaceae. The record is from RNAcentral.